AUAUUUAUAUUUGAUAAAUCUUUUUUUCAUUUUGAGAACUCAAAAUACCAAACAGUGAACUUGCAUUCUAAAGUCACCCUGUGAUCACCUUGUCAUCUAGUAGCAAAAUGAUGAACUAUUCAUGCAUCAAAGAAAAUUACAUCUGCUGGCCUUGUAUGAAAAUGAUCUCUUGGCAUCCCGAUUAAAUGACACACUGUCACUGUGGACUCAAACUGUUAAGACAGCUGCAGUUUCUAAAGAAAUACAAAGAUUGCCGUGGAUGCACUCAAAGGUUUCAUUGUUUUAACACCUUUAAGGGAGAAA
This 303-nucleotide small RNA is filed under the name Pan troglodytes (chimpanzee). Its description in RNAcentral is "processed transcript". Lineage: Eukaryota; Metazoa; Chordata; Mammalia; Primates; Hominidae. The record is from RNAcentral.